UUGCAGUGCUUAGAAUCUCUACUGGAAGGU
Molecule: non-coding RNA, 30 nt
Filed under: Mus musculus (house mouse)
Lineage: Eukaryota; Metazoa; Chordata; Mammalia; Rodentia; Muridae
Source: RNAcentral